Molecule: transfer RNA, 41 nt
Filed under: x Calammophila baltica
Lineage: Eukaryota; Viridiplantae; Streptophyta; Magnoliopsida; Poales; Poaceae
Description: partial tRNA-Phe
Rfam family: tRNA
About the family: Transfer RNA (tRNA) molecules are approximately 80 nucleotides in length.
Source: RNAcentral
GUCAGGAUAGCUCAGUUGGUAGAGCAAAGGACUGAAAAUCC